ACCUGUUCCCAUCCCGAACACAGAAGUUAAGCUCUUCAGCGCCGAUGGUAGUUGGGACUUUGUCCCUGCAAGAGUAGGACGCCGCCAGGC
RNAcentral lists this ribosomal RNA (90 nucleotides) under Oceanobacillus polygoni. The record is from RNAcentral. Lineage: Bacteria; Bacillati; Bacillota; Bacilli; Caryophanales; Bacillaceae.